Molecule: ribosomal RNA, 253 nt
Filed under: uncultured bacterium
Lineage: Bacteria
Description: partial 16S ribosomal RNA
Rfam family: Bacterial small subunit ribosomal RNA
Source: RNAcentral
UACGUAGGGUGCAAGCGUUGUCCGGAUUUAUUGGGCGUAAAGAGCUCGUAGGCGGUCUGUCGCGUCGGAUGUGAAAACCCAGGGCUCAACCCUGGGCCUGCAUUCGAUACGGGCAGACUAGAGUACGGCAGGGGAGACUGGAAUUCCUGGUGUAGCGGUGAAAUGCGCAGAUAUCAUUUGGAACGCCAACGGAGAAAUCAGGCAGCUGGGGGUGUGCUGACGCUGAGACACGAAAGCCAGGGGAGCGAACGGG